GUUUUGCUUUAAAUUUGAGCACAUGCGUCACUUUGAGUAUAAAAAAGGAGCCAUUUCACUGGGUGUGGGAUGUGAGGGCAGCUCUGAGCGAGCGCCUAUUCACUAAUGAUCCUUCCGCAGGUUCCGAUGACCGCGCACGCUCUCGCAGUGCGCACUGACUAUACCUCAAACAGCGACUGGCGCUGCCCACUUUCAUCUAGUCGAUGAACCCUAUUGCAGGGCUGCGGAUUGACCCGCGUCUGGCGAAGAUUCACCAGACACACAGGGCGUUCCCCGCAGUUUGACAGUGUUGCCUCUCUCGAGACUAGCCUUGCGGCUGUUGCAGGCAAACCUUGCUACCUACGGAAA
This 348-nucleotide unclassified non-coding RNA is filed under the name uncultured fungus. Its description in RNAcentral is "sequence contains ITS1". Lineage: Eukaryota; Fungi. The record is from RNAcentral.